This is a non-coding RNA of Potamilus streckersoni, 77 nucleotides long. The record is from the annotation of a GenBank genome assembly. NCBI's taxonomy places the organism in Eukaryota, Metazoa, Mollusca, Bivalvia, Unionida, Unionidae.
CCGCUUCCUUGGUGUAGUGGUUAGAGCGUCUGCCUCGGAUGCUGGAGAUCGUGGGUUCGAUUCCCGGUCGAGCCAGA